RNAcentral lists this ribosomal RNA (119 nucleotides) under Helianthus annuus (common sunflower). Lineage: Eukaryota; Viridiplantae; Streptophyta; Magnoliopsida; Asterales; Asteraceae. The record is from RNAcentral.
GGUUGCGAUCAUACCAACACUAAUACACCGGAUCCCAUCAGAACUCCGCAGUUAAGCGUGCUUGGACGAGAGUAGUACUAGGAUGGGUGACCCAUUGGGAAGUAAUCGUGUUGCAACCC